AUUGAACGCUAGCGGCAGGCUUAACACAUGCAAGUCGAGCGGAGUGAUGGUGCUUGCACUAUCACUUAGCGGCGGACGGGUGAGUAAUGCUUAGGAAUCUGCCUAUUAGUGGGGGACAACAUCUCGAAAGGGAUGCUAAUACCGCAUACGUCCUACGGGAGAAAGCAGGGGAUCACUUGUGACCUUGCGCUAAUAGAUGAGCCUAAGCCGGAUUAGCUAGUUGGUGGGGUAAAGGCCUACCAAGGCGACGAUCUGUAGCGGGUCUGAGAGGAUGAUCCGCCACACUGGGACUGAGACACGGCCCAGACUCCUACGGGAGGCAGCAGUGGGGAAUAUUGGACAAUGGGGGGAACCCUGAUCCAGCCAUGCCGCGUGUGUGAAGAAGGCCUUAUGGUUGUAAAGCACUUUAAGCGAGGAGGAGGCUCUUUUGGUUAAUACCCAAGAUGAGUGGACGUUACUCGCAGAAUAAGCACCGGCUAACUCUGUGCCAGCAGCCGCAGUAA
RNAcentral lists this ribosomal RNA (503 nucleotides) under uncultured bacterium. RNAcentral describes it as "partial 16S ribosomal RNA". It matches the Rfam family "Bacterial small subunit ribosomal RNA", at positions 30 to 523 of the family's 1533-position model. The record is from RNAcentral.